GCUUUUAAUAUGGACCACACCAAUUGGCUACCAAUGAGAGUAAUACUUCAAAGUAAGGCUUUAUAAAUAGAAGUUAUAUAUUCUAAGAAAUAAAGGAGAAAAAGAUCAUUGAACAAAAAAAUAUCAUAAUAAUGGAGAGGAAAACACUCCUUGGACUGAGCUUCUUCCUCUUUGUUCUCUUAGCUGCUCAAGAAGCUGUGGUGAAGAUUGAAGGUUGUGAGAAAAAGAGUUCAGUUGGCUUCGGUGGUUUAUGCAUUGGUCCAAAACUAAGUUAUGAGUGUAACUUUAUUUGCAUGUAUACUGACCAUUUAAAAGGUGGUUACUGCAAAAAUGAGGAGUGCAUGUGUUCCUGUUGAAUUUGCAACUAUAUAUAGAAAAUAAAUAAAAGCUAGCUAGUUCAUGAAAUAAAUCAGGAAUUAAUGCUCUUUCCUUUGUUGAGAAUGAGAAUAAAAUUAAUUAAUUGGUAAGGAUUAUAUAUUUUACCUCACGUAUAUUAUAUUGGGGUAAUCUUGCUUUUGAUCUUUGUAA
Molecule: long non-coding RNA, 528 nt
Organism: Medicago truncatula (barrel medic)
Lineage: Eukaryota; Viridiplantae; Streptophyta; Magnoliopsida; Fabales; Fabaceae
Exons: 2
Source: RefSeq, a predicted model, not a curated record